RNAcentral lists this ribosomal RNA (245 nucleotides) under uncultured Flavisolibacter sp. RNAcentral's name for it is "partial 16S ribosomal RNA". It matches the Rfam family "Bacterial small subunit ribosomal RNA", at positions 524 to 768 of the family's 1533-position model. The record is from RNAcentral. Lineage: Bacteria; Pseudomonadati; Bacteroidota; Chitinophagia; Chitinophagales; Chitinophagaceae.
UACGGAGGGUGCAAGCGUUAUCCGGAUUCACUGGGUUUAAAGGGUGCGUAGGCGGGCAUGUAAGUCAGUGGUGAAAUCUUCGAGCUUAACUCGGAAACUGCCGUUGAUACUAUGUGUCUUGAAUAUCGUUGAGGUUUGCGGAAUAUGUCAUGUAGCGGUGAAAUGCUUAGAUAUGACAUAGAACACCAAUUGCGAAGGCAGCAGGCUAAACGAACAUUGACGCUGAGGCACGAAAGCGUGGGGAU